GACGAACGCUGGCGGCGUGCUUAACACAUGCAAGUCGAACGGAAAGGCCCUGCUUUUGUGGGGUGCUCGAGUGGCGAACGGGUGAGUAACACGUGAGUAACCUGCCCUUGACUUUGGGAUAACUUCAGGAAACUGGGGCUAAUACCGGAUAGGAGCUCCUGCUGCAUGGUGGGGGUUGGAAAGUUUCGGCGGUUGGGGAUGGACUCGCGGCUUAUCAGCUUGUUGGUGGGGUAGUGGCUUACCAAGGCUUUGACGGGUAGCCGGCCUGAGAGGGUGACCGGCCACAUUGGGACUGAGAGACGGCGCAGACUCGUACGGGAGGCAGCAGUGGGGAACAUGGCACAACGGGCGGAAGCCUGAUGCAGCAACGCCGCGUUCGGGAUGACGGCCUGCGGGUUGUGAACCGCUUUCGCCUGUGACGAAGCGUGAGUGACGGUAAUGGGUAAAGAAGCACCGGCUAACUACGUG
Molecule: ribosomal RNA, 468 nt
Filed under: uncultured bacterium
Lineage: Bacteria
Description: partial 16S ribosomal RNA
Rfam family: Bacterial small subunit ribosomal RNA
Source: RNAcentral